This 442-nucleotide ribosomal RNA is filed under the name uncultured bacterium. RNAcentral describes it as "partial 16S ribosomal RNA". It matches the Rfam family "Bacterial small subunit ribosomal RNA", at positions 338 to 795 of the family's 1533-position model. The record is from RNAcentral.
CCUACGGGUGGGCAGCAGUGGGGAAUAUUGGGCAAUGGGCGCAAGCCUGACCCAGCAAUGCCGCGUGAAGGAAGAAGGCUUUCGGGUUGUAAACUUCUUUGACAGGGGAAGAGCAGAAGACGGUACCCUGAAAACAAGCCACGGCUAACUACGUGCCAGCAGCCGCGGUAAUACGUAGGUGGCAAGCGUUGUCCGGAAUUACUGGGUGUAAAGGGAGCGUAGGCGGGGAUGCAAGUUGGGUGUCAAAACUACCGGCUCAACUGGUAGUCGCACUCAAAACUGCAGCUCUUGAGUGAAGUAGAGGCAGGCGGAAUUCCUAGUGUAGCGGUGAAAUGCGUAGAUAUUAGGAGGAACACCAGUGGCGAAGGCGGCCUGCUGGGCUUUUACUGACGCUGAGGCUCGAAAGUGUGGGGAGCAAACAGGAUUAGAUACCCGAGUAGUC